Molecule: ribosomal RNA, 460 nt
Filed under: uncultured bacterium
Lineage: Bacteria
Description: partial 16S ribosomal RNA
Rfam family: Bacterial small subunit ribosomal RNA
Source: RNAcentral
CCUACGGUAGGCAGCAGUGAGGAAUAUUGGUCAAUGGGCGCAAGCCUGAACCAGCCACGUAGCGUGAAGGAUGACUGCUCUAUGGGUUGUAAACUUCUUUUAUAUGGGAAUAAAGUGAAGAAUGUAUACUGCUUUGCAUGUACCUUAUGAAUAAGGAUCGGCUAACUCCGUGCCAGCAGCCGCGGUAAUACGGAGGAUGCGAGCGUUAUCCGGAUUUAUUGGGUUUAAAGGGAGCGUAGGCGGGUUGUUAAGUCAGUUGUGAAAGUUUGCGGCUCAACCGUAAAAUUGCAGUUGAUACUGGGAGCCUUGAGUACAGUAGAGGUAGGCGGAAUUCGAGGUGUAGCGGUGAAAUGCUUAGAUAUCACGAAGAACUCCGAUUGCGAAGGCAGCUUGCUGGACUGUAACUGACGCUGAUGCACGAAAGUGUGGGGAGCAAACAGGAUUAGAUACCCGUGUAGUC